RNAcentral lists this ribosomal RNA (1384 nucleotides) under uncultured bacterium. RNAcentral's name for it is "bacterial SSU rRNA". It matches the Rfam family "Bacterial small subunit ribosomal RNA". The record is from RNAcentral.
GGACGAACGCUGGCGGCGUGCUUAACACAUGCAAGUCGAGCGAUGAAGCUCCUUCGGGAGUGGAUUAGCGGCGGACGGGUGAGUAACACGUGGGUAACCUGCCUCAUAGAGGGGAAUAGCCUUUCGAAAGGAAGAUUAAUACCGCAUAAGAUUGUAGUACUGCAUGGUACAGCAAUUAAAGGAGUAAUCCGCUAUGAGAUGGACCCGCGUCGCAUUAGCUAGUUGGUGAGGUAACGGCUCACCAAGGCGACGAUGCGUAGCCGACCUGAGAGGGUGAUCGGCCACAUUGGGACUGAGACACGGCCCAGACUCCUACGGGAGGCAGCAGUGGGGAAUAUUGCACAAUGGGGGAAACCCUGAUGCAGCAACGCCGCGUGAGUGAUGACGGUCUUCGGAUUGUAAAGCUCUGUCUUUAGGGACGAUAAUGACGGUACCUAAGGAGGAAGCCACGGCUAACUACGUGCCAGCAGCCGCGGUAAUACGUAGGUGGCAAGCGUUGUCCGGAUUUACUGGGCGUAAAGGGAGCGUAGGUGGAUAUUUAAGUGGGAUGUGAAAUACCCGGGCUUAACCUGGGUGCUGCAUUCCAAACUGGAUAUCUAGAGUGCAGGAGAGGAAAGGAGAAUUCCUAGUGUAGCGGUGAAAUGCGUAGAGAUUAGGAAGAAUACCAGUGGCGAAGGCGCCUUUCUGGACUGUAACUGACACUGAGGCUCGAAAGCGUGGGGAGCAAACAGGAUUAGAUACCCUGGUAGUCCACGCUGUAAACGAUGAAUACUAGGUGUAGGGGUUGUCAUGACCUCUGUGCCGCCGCUAACGCAUUAAGUAUUCCGCCUGGGGAGUACGGUCGCAAGAUUAAAACUCAAAGGAAUUGACGGGGGCCCGCACAAGCAGCGGAGCAUGUGGUUUAAUUCGAAGCAACGCGAAGAACCUUACCUAGACUUGACAUCUCCUGAAUUACUCUGUAAUGGAGGAAGCCACUUCGGUGGCAGGAAGACAGGUGGUGCAUGGUUGUCGUCAGCUCGUGUCGUGAGAUGUUGGGUUAAGUCCCGCAACGAGCGCAACCCUUAUUGUUAGUUGCUACCAUUUAGUUGAGCACUCUAGCGAGACUGCCCGGGUUAACCGGGAGGAAGGUGGGGAUGACGUCAAAUCAUCAUGCCCCUUAUGUCUAGGGCUACACACGUGCUACAAUGGUCGGUACAAUGAGAUGCAACCUCGCGAGAGUGAGCAAAACUAUAAAACCGAUCUCAGUUCGGAUUGUAGGCUGAAACUCGCCUACAUGAAGCUGGAGUUGCUAGUAAUCGCGAAUCAGAAUGUCGCGGUGAAUACGUUCCCGGGCCUUGUACACACCGCCCGUCACUCCAUGAGAGUUGGCAAUACCCAAAGUUCG